UGGUGCAUGCGCAGACGUUUUUCCGCGGUGUUGUUUUAGGUGAACACCGCGGAAAAACGUCUGCGCAUGCACCA
Paramuricea clavata is the source of this 74-nucleotide non-coding RNA. Lineage: Eukaryota; Metazoa; Cnidaria; Anthozoa; Malacalcyonacea; Plexauridae. The record is from the annotation of a GenBank genome assembly.